UACAGAGGUGCCAAGCGUUAGGCGGAAUCACUGGGCUUAAAGCGUGUGUAGGCGGGUCGUUAAGUACCUUGUGAAAUCCCCCGGCUCAACCGGGGAACGGCUGGGUAUACUGGCGAUCUUGAGCCACCUAGGGGCAGUCGGAACAAGUGGUGGAGCGGUGAAAUGCGUAGAUAUCACUUGGAACGCCAAUGGUGAAAACAGACUGCUGGGGGUGUGCUGACGCUGAGACACGAAAGCCAGGGGAGCAAACGGG
Molecule: ribosomal RNA, 253 nt
Filed under: uncultured bacterium
Lineage: Bacteria
Description: partial 16S ribosomal RNA
Rfam family: Bacterial small subunit ribosomal RNA
Source: RNAcentral